CGGGUAUGAACGAUUUAUCGUUCUAAGUGAGUGACGUCACACUGCCAAGAAAAGCUUCUAGUUAGAAUCAGACCGCCCGUACCGCAAACCGACACAGGUAGUCGGGUCGAGAAGACCAAGGUGAGCGAGAGAACUUUCGUUAAGGAACUCGGCAAAAUGACCCCGUAACUUCGGGAGAAGGGGUGCUGAUCGCAAGAUCAGCCGCAGUGAAUAGGCCCAGGCGACUGUUUAUCAAAAACACAGGUUUCUGCAAAAUCGUAAGAUGAAGUAUAGGGGCUGACGCCUGCCCGGUGCUGGAAGGUUAAGAGGAUGGGUUAGCGCAAGCGAAGCUCAGAAUUGAAGCCCCAGUAAACGGCGGCCGUAACAAUAACGGUCCUAAGGUAGCGAAAUUCCUUGUCGGGUAAGUUCCGACCCGCACGAAAGGCGUAACGAUCUGGGCACUGUCUCAACGAGAGACUCGGUGAAAUUAUAAUACCCGUGAAGAUGCGGGUUACCCGCGACAGGACGGAAAGACCCCAUGGAGCUUUACUGUAGCUUGAUAUUGGGUGUUUGUACAACUUGUACAGGAUAGGUAGGAGCCGUAGAAGUCGGGACGCUAGUUUCGACGGAGGCAUCGGUGGGAUACUACCCUCGUUGUAUGAACACUCUAACCCACGCCGGCAAUCACGGCGGGAGACAGUGUCAGGUGGGCAGUUUGACUGGGGCGGUCGCCUCCUAAAAGGUAACGGAGGCGCCCAAAGGUUCCCUCAGAAUGGUUGGAAAUCAUUCGCAGAGCGUAAAGGCAUAAGGGAGCUUGACUGCGAGACCUACAAGUCGAGCAGGGACGAAAGUCGGGCUUAGUGAUCCGGUGGUUCCGCAUGGAAGGGCCAUCGCUCAACGGAUAAAAGCUACCCUGGGGAUAACAGGCUUAUCUCCCCCAAGAGUCCACAUCGACGGGGAGGUUUGGCACCUCGAUGUCGGCUCAUCGCAUCCUGGGGCUGUAGUCGGUCCCAAGGGUUGGGCCGUUCGCCCAUUAAAGCGGUACGCGAGCUGGGUUCAGAACGUCGUGAGACAGUUCGGUCCCUAUCCGUCGCGGGCGCAGGAAAUUUGAGAGGAUCUGUCCUUAGUACGAGAGGACCGGGAUGGACAUACCGCUGGUGUACCAGUUGUUCUGCCAAGGGCAUCGCUGGGUAGCUAUGUAUGGAUGAGAUAAACGCUGAAAGCAUCUAAGUGCGAAACUCACCUCGAGAUAAGAUUUCCCACU
RNAcentral lists this ribosomal RNA (1243 nucleotides) under metagenome. Its description in RNAcentral is "bacterial LSU rRNA". It matches the Rfam family "Bacterial large subunit ribosomal RNA", at positions 1565 to 2818 of the family's 2925-position model. The record is from RNAcentral.